RNAcentral lists this transfer RNA (86 nucleotides) under Pleodorina starrii. RNAcentral describes it as "tRNA-Val". The record is from RNAcentral. Lineage: Eukaryota; Viridiplantae; Chlorophyta; Chlorophyceae; Chlamydomonadales; Volvocaceae.
GACAUAAUGUUGUAGUGGAAUCAUGUCUGUCUCACACACAGGAGGUCCCCAGACAGGAGGUCCCCAAUCGAAACUGGGUGAUGUCA